GGGUUGGGCUGCCUGAGCCAAUAGAAAGUCCGUAAGGCGGGACGAGGACUGCAGCAAGUUCGGUUGCGCGGAGACCGCAGCUGUUCCCUGUCAGUGGAGGCAGCGGCUGUAGAGGCGGUGGCGACGACUUGCGGCGGCAGCGAGGAGGUAGCACCUGCCUUCCGAGAGCUGACAGAACGCCGAGGGUAAGUCCUGGGCCUGGAUCCAGGUCAGUGGGAUGCAUGUGGGUCGCCUUCAGGAGCAUCUGCUGUAGAGCUUAGCAGCCUGGCUCGUCAGUUCCGGAGCACAAUAAAUAAAAAAGGGCCAAGCUCUGAUUUCUGGAAAAUAUAAGCCGUCUUUGUCUGUUCCCAGCUCUCUUGCUUGUCUGGGUUUUCACGGGAAAGCAGUUGGCCAGCCUCAGCAGGAGGCCCUACUUCUGGAAGGGCCUCGCCUAUAGGGGGUGAGGGCUGGGCCCCCCCCCCCAGGUCCGCAAGAAGCAUCUGCAGGGCAGGGCGGCCUCUGAGAAGACCCCUUGAGUCAGUGUGGAGAGCAGGCCGCUGGGCUCAGGAAGUGGCUCUGUCCACUGGCUGGGAGAGCACUUGACCCGCGUGCCAGACAGUGACGCUCAGCCUUGGGAGUCACGGUGACGAAGGGCUGAAGGCUGACUUGUCCCUCCUUCCCCCACAUAGCUUGUUCUGUGUGCCAGUGCUGCCCUGUAAACCUCCUGUGCUAAGGUCUCCCCUCGCACAGGAAACUCUGCUGAUCGCGCUGAGCCCAGGGCAUCUCAGCCUGAAUGCCAAGCGAGGCGCUCGUGACCGGUGUCCACCCGAAGGUCCCGUCUGUCUCUGGCGGCUGGCUGGGGAGAGCGUCCCAGCUGAACAUGAUGCUGGCUCUGUCUCGUGUCCCGCCUGCAUUUCAGACACUGAUCCGCUCUUCCCUCCACCACAGGCAGGCCAGCUGCUACCCCCGGUUCACAGCCAGGUGCCCUGGGAACUGUGUGGCUCGGGGACAACUGCCCAGAGCUCAGGUCCAGUGCUCAGCAUGAGGACUCCUUUGUUUGGGGAUUUUUCUCGGGUGACCCCUCCGGAGCCAGAAGCCGUUUUCCUCUCCGAGAUGUUCCAUCGCCCUUGCUUGUCCCAGGUGUUGGGCCAGCAGUGGCCGUCUUCCACUCUGGGAGCCAGAGAAGCAGGAGGGGGGCUGGGAUGCCAAGGCCGCUAGCGUACGUUUCCACCAGCUGUAUGUGGAAUGGGGCCAGACUCCACAUGUGGCAGCUCCUCUCCUGACCGACAUCCGUCCCCGCCUGAGGCCUCGGGAAAAUUCCAUGAUGUGGCUGUGCUGAGUCAUGCUUAGUGUCUGAGGAUCCGUAUGUCACCUUUCGCGUGUCUGUCACUGGUCAGCCCUGGGUCUGGGAAAGGCUGCAGCUUCCACAGCAGCCGUGAUAUCCUGCUGCUGAUCCUUUCUGUUUACCCACUGCUGUGUGCCUCUCCCGAGUGCUUUGACUGCUGUGCCGUUUAUCAGUAUAUCAUUGAUUAAUAUUAAAUACUAAGUGGAUUACUUAUUCUGGAAAAUAUUCUUCUCAUGAAUGAAGAAACUGAGGUUUGGAGAGACUAAGUGACUUGGAGAAUUUUGGGUGACUGGCGAGUGGCAAGUCUGGGUGAGAUUUUUGAUGAUAUCUCACUCCCACACACCCCCCCUUGUGGUUUCUUGUGUAAUGCAAAGAUUAUUCAGAAGAUACUUUGGUUGAAAAAAAUGAUUUUCAAUUUGUUCAAGUUACAAACUCAAAAAAAACCUCACUCUUUAAGGGCUAGACUUUUCCAUUUAGCUUUUAAGUAUAGCCUACAAAUCUUUUCUGUUCUUUUUUUUUUUUUUCUCUUUUUGAUUCUAGAAAAUUUUAACAAUCACUUUAAGGGGCCCUUUGGUUAAUACUGAUCCAUUUGCAAGAUUAACUCAUUGGAAAAUUCCAGAUCGAGUUUAUGAAUGACGUUCAACUUCCUUUAAUUAAUACUUGCAAGUGUCUGAUUAACAAAAUCUUUAAUACUUCAGUAUUCCUGUAAAUCUAAUAAUUUAAAUGGACUCAGUUUUUCUUAAGCAUUCCUGUGUUGUUUUAUGUUUUAUUAUUGACGCAGCUUUAUUGAGGUAUUUUUGACAGAAUAAACUGCACAUAUUUUAAGUGUAUGCUUUAUGUUUUGACAUAUGCAUAUACUUGUGAAAUCAUAACUGCAAUUAGGACAGUGAUUAUCCCAAAGCAUCCCCACGCCCCUGGGCAAUCCCUCCCUCCCUCAUGCCCCUUGGCAAUUCCUCUUUGCCUCCCUCACCCACAUGCAACCCUGAACUGUUUUCUGUUACUAUAGAUUAGGUUGCAAUUUCUGGAAUUUUCCAGAAGCGGAAUCAUGUAGUGUGCAUUCCUUUUUGGUCUGGCUUCAUUCACUCGGCAUAAUUAUUUUGGAAUUUGUCCAUAUUGUGUGUACCAAUAGUUCCUUUCAUUGCUGAGUAAUAUUCCAUUAGCGGAAAUUCCACAAGUUGUUUCUCCACUCACCUUUUGUUGGUCAUUUUCGUUGUUUCCAGUUUUUGGCGAUUCUAAAUAAAGGUGCUCUGAGCCUCUGUGUAC
This 2587-nucleotide long non-coding RNA is filed under the name Sus scrofa (pig). RNAcentral's name for it is "lncRNA (ENSSSCG00015022092.1)". The record is from RNAcentral. Lineage: Eukaryota; Metazoa; Chordata; Mammalia; Artiodactyla; Suidae.